AAACAGCUCUCCAGAGCUCCAGCAACUCUGAUUUUGGGUCCCAGGGCCUGUACCUUGCUGAUAUGCCCCAUCCUCACCCCACUCCACCCUGUGCUCAUGACAAGCAGAGCCCAUGGAGUGUCUCUUCCAUUGAACACAACCAAGGAGGGAACAGGAUGGAGAACCUGAUACUUCAGAGGCAUGGCUCAAAGGAUCACCUUUUAUCUGAGGAAGUCUCCUUACUUAAUUUCUCUGCCUUUUUUGUCUUCAGACACUUUUCAGGAUCAACUUAUUUAGGACCCCAGAAAAAUGCUGGAGCCCCUACUACAUGUAUGAGUUUCAGUAUCACCCAAGCUUCUCAUUGGACCUGUGUCCUGAAAUGGUGAUAGGAGACCACGAGGAUGAGCUCUUCUGAGUGUUUGACUCCAUUUAUAAAAGACUCUAUGAAAAUGUGGGUGUGUGUAGGAAUUUGAGAAAAAACCCAAGAGCCAGCAAUCCUGCAAGUCAAAGGUAACUCUGGGUUGUGGCAUUUCAGUUCUGAUGGGGGAGGGGCAGGCAGGUGGGCAAGGAAAACAAAGGCAGCUAUCUCAUGGAUGGGCUGCAAGCUCAUUGGUGGGUCCUAGAUCAGCUGUCCCCACCAGGAUCUUCUUUAAAUGCAGAUUUUGACUCAGUAGGUGUGGAGAAAGGGCCAAGAGUUCAAUUCUAACAAGCUCCCAAAUGCUGCUGCUGCUGCUGGCUAUAAACCACACUCUGUAUAACAAAAUUUUUUCUUUUUCCCUAUAGAGGGUAUAUCAGAAGAAGAGAGGAACCUCAGCAAGAUGGUGAUGAAAUUCUGGGCAAGCUUUGCUCAGAAUGGUUGAGGGAUGGUAUGACAUGAUUUCUGCAUAGGGAUAGCUUCUAAAAUUUUACUGACUAAAACCCUGACUCUGUGGCCAUACUGUUCUGACAAUGAGAGAUCUCUAAUAAUGAACUGGCUGCCCAAGGAGGUAGAGAGCUCUCUGUCUUUGAAGGUACACAGGCAUCAUGGCAGUCACAAAUCAAGGGAUUCCUCCAAAUCUCAAAGAAGUGUGGAAAUCACACAGAAUUUUAAUUUUGAUUCUAUUUCCAGGAACCCCAAUGGGGAGGAAUUUCCCCACUGGCUGGAGUAUGACCAAAAUGAAGGGUAUCUGGAGAUGGGUGGUGAAGUCAGUCCAGAGAGAAUCCAUUAAGCUCUGACUGGGAGGUCCAGCCAGCUUUGGAAGCUUGGAGCUGUCAAGAUAGGCGUAUUGUUCUAUAGAAGCUGUUUGUAGGCAAAAGAGGAAUCUUAUUGUGGAGGCUGGAGAAUUAUGUGCUGGGGGUGAGCAGAGGCAAAGGAGGGGAAUGUUUGUACCUGUAGUCUCAAUUUGUUGAAUAAAUGUUCUUUUGGAAACC
RNAcentral lists this long non-coding RNA (1389 nucleotides) under Castor canadensis (American beaver). Its description in RNAcentral is "lncRNA (ENSCCNG00000019377.1)". Lineage: Eukaryota; Metazoa; Chordata; Mammalia; Rodentia; Castoridae. The record is from RNAcentral.